RNAcentral lists this non-coding RNA (21 nucleotides) under Caenorhabditis elegans. Lineage: Eukaryota; Metazoa; Nematoda; Chromadorea; Rhabditida; Rhabditidae. The record is from RNAcentral.
UUGGUAAUUUUUUUAAUUACG